Long non-coding RNA from Homo sapiens (human), 3537 nucleotides. The record is from Ensembl. Lineage: Eukaryota; Metazoa; Chordata; Mammalia; Primates; Hominidae.
GUAAACAUAAAUCCCAACCUGGAUUCUUCCCUGGGCUGACGGAGUUCAGGGAGAAAGGUAGCAGUAGAUAAGUCAUAUGCUGGAAAAGCUUGGACUCUACCCUGUCAUGAAAACUUUCAGGAACAUUUCUUAUUUCUUUUUAGAGACAAGGUCUCACUAUGUUGCCCAGGCUGGCCUCGAACUCCCGGGCUUCAGCAGUCCUCCCGCCUCACCCUCCGAUGUAGCUAGGACUACAGGACCGCGACCCGGCGCUGCCUAAGAACUGUUUUUAAACGUGAAAGCCACGGCUAUCAUUUGCUUUUUGCUCUGCUCUUCAUCUUCUGGAUAAACCUCGUAACACACUGCUUGUUUUGGGUGGUAGUCUGCUGCCUACGCCCCGUCAGACAAGUGGCCUGAGUCCCCCGCAACCCCUGCAGGUCCGGCCGCCGGCGCCAAGCCUCAAGGCAUCCAAGCCAGGAACGAUCGCGGUCAGCUCUGCCACGGAACAUGUGCAAGACCCGGCAGCAGGUUCCGGGGGAGGCGAAUUGAUUUCACAACGGUCGAGAAGGAGGACCCCGCCCACUUCGUCAUUUCUCGGAAGCCCAGGGACUCGCCGGAAGAGCGGCUCAAAAGCCGGAAAACUGGCAAAUCCGAGUCUCCCGGCGCAUGCGCGGCGCAAUCGGCUUCGCGUGGUUGCAGUAGAGAGGAUCCCUCCGCCAGCCACUGCAUCCGGCGGCCGGAUCUAACUUACCCGCUAGCGUUUUACCCUUGCGCGGCCGUGGCGUAGGGCGGUCUUUUCCCUUGGUCCUCCGCGGCGCCGCCUCUUGUGACGUAAGCCGCAGAAUCCUCUGUCUUAGUUCGGCUCUAUUGCCGCGAGCUUGACUCUUCCUGGGUCUGAGGAAAAGUAAAAGUAAUUUUGUCAUUUCCUGAAACUUCAAGUUAAACCUUUAAGCUGUUCAUUUCCUAAAAGGGUGAAAACGCGGGCACCCCUCGAGCUAGUUCAUCGCCUUUUAACCUGUGAGUUCUGUUAAAAGGAAGUAACUGCAAAAUGUCUUCGCUGUUAGGUUUCUUUGGAAGUUUUGGGUUGUGUUCAUGCGUUCUCUCGGCGUGUGAACUGGGAGAAAGUGGAGUGCCAGCCAUAUGAAAUGACAACUGUAUAUGGAGGCUGGGAAGUAUAAUGCGCAUUCUGGCUUGAUGAAAUUAAUGAAAUUUUAAUUAAGUUUAAUUUUCAUUUGAAUUACCCAGGAAUAGCAUCUUGAAAGGCGGGGCAUAAAAAGCAGUUAAAGAGCUUCGAGAAACGGUUACUCGUUUUGUAAACUAAAGACCAAAUGAAAAUCCAGCUGCACUAGAAAAGAAAGAAACUUAUAAGGGCCGAAGGUUUUGUCUGCAAUUUACAGCUAAUUAGUCUCAAAGAUUUCUGUGAUUUGCCCAAGAGAGGUGGAGUUGGGGCCACUGCUUUACCCAGGACACCGCCGCGGCCCGCUUGAAUACUGCCGCCGUUAGGACCCGCCGUACCUGGCCGUCCAGGGCCUCUUUUCUUGUCUUCCACUCUCACUUGUCUUUUCUCCCCUUUCCAUGUUUUUGGUUCCUUUCCUGAGUUUCCCUUGUCUCCACUCCCCUGCCCCUUUGCUUCCUCUAUCUCUUUAACUUCUGUUUUCUUGAUGGUGGAGCCAACUUUAGUUUCCCUUAAAAGGCCAUAAAAGGAAAUAGAAUAAUUUUAAAAAUGUCUUUUCAUAAGGCUUGUUUUCUUGUCUUAAGCCUGUUUUUUGGUGGGGGGUGAAAAAGUUCAUAUGCAGAUAGACAUAAACUUCUUUUGGUAAAAGCUGCCCUCUAUUUUCUUCCAUAGCUGUCCUGUGAAAGUAGGAGUGUGUGUGAAUGGUGAAGCAAAGAGAGGGAGACAUGGGGUCAGGAGAAGAGGGAGCACAGCGUGUGUAAGGAGUUAAUUAGAACCAGAGGGCCUGGGUCUGUGGCUCAUGCCUGUAAUUCCAGCACUUUGGGAGGCUGAGGCGGAGGACCCUUUGCACCACUGCACUCCAGCCUGAGCAACAGAGUGAGACCCAGUCUCAGAACAAAAAAACAGAAACAGGAGAAAAACCAUCCAUAUAAGCAGAGAGGUACUUAAAAUGUUGCAAAACUAAAUUCCAAAUAACGUCUGUGGAUUCUACAAAAUCUAGGAAAUACACAUUUCCAAUAAAUCUUUGUACAUUCAUCUGUAAUGCAUUUCCUUAGGUGAUUUGAGUCCUUUAGGAGUAAAUCUGUAUCUUUAGCUGUCCCAGAAGUAAUCACAGGCGUUCAUUGUCUAUUCAAUGACAAAGUAUUGUGAACUAUUCUAUGAAAUAAUAAAAUAUCAGUGUUUUCAGAGUACAUGGCCUUUUCAGUAGCCUUUUCAGUGUGGUGGCACGUGUUCCCAGUUCUGCCAGUGGAUAUUGUUAUCUUUGAUCUACAACUGGGAAGCUAAAACCCAGAAAGUUACUUGUCUAAGACUAUACACCUCCAAGAAGGCAGAACUGUGGCUGCUAUUUCCAACUUUCUAGUCUCUGAACAUGUAAUAAAGAACUGAUUUCCAAUUUACAAUGAAUAAUAGAAUUUACAAUGAAUAAUAUAAUUUACUAUAAUAUAACAACCGACCAAAGUGUGCUGUUUUAUUACCAAUUUCUCUCUCUCUCUCUCUCUCUCUUUCUUUUGUGACAGAGUCUCGCUCUGUUGCCCAAGCUGGGGUGCAGUGGUGAGGUCUCGGCUGACUGCAACGUCCGCCUCCCAGGUUCAAGCGAUUCUAACUGCGUCAGACUCCCCAGUAGCUGUGACUACAGGCAGGCGCCACUACACCUGGCUAAUUUUUGUAUUUUUAGUAGAGAUGGGGGCUCACCAUGUUGGUCAGGCUGGUCCCAAAUUCCUUGCCUCAAGUGAUUUGCCCGCCUCGGCCUCCCAAAGUGUUGGGAUUACAGGUGUGAGCCACUGUGCCCACCCCAAUUUGCUUCUUUGGUGUUUGUAAUUCUGCUUGGUCAACCGUAACUUGCAGAAAUUGAUUGGAACAUAUAUUUUGAUAAAGUAUUUGAAGGUAUUCCUGAAGUUUGAUUUAUGUUUCAGCUGCCUAUACUGAAAGAAAAUAAACUGCUGUGUAUUCCAUAAUUUAAAAAUAAUUGUUCACUUUAGUGACAUUUUGUAGUUGGAUAGUGGAGACAAAAGAUGAUACUCUCUGUGAUCUUCAAUCUAAACAUUUAUGUUAGGACAAAUUAUUCCCAUAUCUGUAUAAUGCUAUAUUUCUUCCCUGACCUCUACAAAUCACAGAAGCACCGUUAUUCGAUCUUGUUCUCUUUUUCAAAAAAUUCUACCUUCCAAGGUGGUGGUUCUUUAAGUUUAUAAGUGAACCAUAAAGUAGUUGGAAACCUGGAUCCCAGGAUGGUAGAAACAUGAAGCUUGUUUAUUCCAAGGACAGUUUUAUAUAUGUAUAGGACUUUAUUAUCCUUACUAUAUACAGCAUUUUAAUGGGGAGGGGGAACCAGGAGCAUUGUUGGGGGUUAAUUUAAUUUUUGUAGUUUUAAAAUACAAACGAAUGAU